Molecule: long non-coding RNA, 411 nt
Filed under: Salmo salar (Atlantic salmon)
Lineage: Eukaryota; Metazoa; Chordata; Actinopteri; Salmoniformes; Salmonidae
Description: lncRNA (ENSSSAG00000114090.1)
Source: RNAcentral
GUCUGGGGUUAGCAGUAGACUGUCGAGGAGAGUGGUCUGAGGUUAGUAGUAAACUGUCAGGGGAGAGUGGUCUGAGUUAGUAGUAGACUGUCAGGGGAGAGUGGUCUGGGGUUAGUAGUAGACUGUCAUGGGAGAGUGGUCUGGGGUUAGUAGGAGACUGUCAGGGGAGAGUGGUCUGAGGUUAGUAGUAGACUGUCGGGGAGAGUGGUCUGAGCUUAGCAGUAGACUGUCAGGGGAGAGUGGUCUGGAGUUAGUAGUAGACUGUCGGGGAGAGUGGUCUGGGGUUAGUAGUAGACUGUCAGGGGAGAGUGUUCUGAGGUUAGUAGUAGACUGUCGGGGAGAGUGGUCUGGGGUUAGUAGUAGACUGUCAGGGGAGAGUGGUCUGAGGUUAGUAGUAGACUGUCAGGGGAG